RNAcentral lists this ribosomal RNA (743 nucleotides) under Staphylococcus aureus. Its description in RNAcentral is "bacterial SSU rRNA". It matches the Rfam family "Bacterial small subunit ribosomal RNA", at positions 87 to 817 of the family's 1533-position model. The record is from RNAcentral. Lineage: Bacteria; Bacillati; Bacillota; Bacilli; Caryophanales; Staphylococcaceae.
UGAUGUUAGCGGCGGACGGGUGAGUAACACGUGGAUAACCUACCUAUAAGACUGGGAUAACUUCGGGAAACCGGAGCUAAUACCGGAUAAUAUUUUGAACCGCAUGGUUCAAAAGUGAAAGACGGUCUUGCUGUCACUUAUAGAUGGAUCCGCGCUGCAUUAGCUAGUUGGUAAGGUAACGGCUUACCAAGGCAACGAUGCAUAGCCGACCUGAGAGGGUGAUCGGCCACACUGGAACUGAGACACGGUCCAGACUCCUACGGGAGGCAGCAGUAGGGAAUCUUCCGCAAUGGGCGAAAGCCUGACGGAGCAACGCCGCGUGAGUGAUGAAGGUCUUCGGAUCGUAAAACUCUGUUAUUAGGGAAGAACAUAUGUGUAAGUAACUGUGCACAUCUUGACGGUACCUAAUCAGAAAGCCACGGCUAACUACGUGCCAGCAGCCGCGGUAAUACGUAGGUGGCAAGCGUUAUCCGGAAUUAUUGGGCGUAAAGCGCGCGUAGGCGGUUUUUUAAGUCUGAUGUGAAAGCCCACGGCUCAACCGUGGAGGGUCAUUGGAAACUGGAAAACUUGAGUGCAGAAGAGGAAAGUGGAAUUCCAUGUGUAGCGGUGAAAUGCGCAGAGAUAUGGAGGAACACCAGUGGCGAAGGCGACUUUCUGGUCUGUAACUGACGCUGAUGUGCGAAAGCGUGGGGAUCAAACAGGAUUAGAUACCCUGGUAGUCCACGCCGUAAACGAUGAGUGCU